This 239-nucleotide unclassified non-coding RNA is filed under the name Glomus sp. RNAcentral describes it as "partial contains 5.8S ribosomal RNA and internal transcribed spacer 2". Lineage: Eukaryota; Fungi; Glomeromycota; Glomeromycetes; Glomerales; Glomeraceae. The record is from RNAcentral.
GUGAAUCAUCGAAUCUUUGAACGCACAUUGCACUCUCUGCGGAGAGGAUGCCCGUUUGAGGGUCAGCCUCAAAAAAAUUCACAUAGAUGCUGUUACGCGGUAACUUUCGGCGGAAAUUGGUCCAUCUUAAACCUUUGGGUUUAGGCGGCUUAAAAUGUUCUUUACGAUUUUAAGUACGUUCCUAAGAUUUUAUUUUCUUAUACUUUUAAGGUAUCGAUCUUUAUUAGUCGUCGCUGUUU